CAAAUUAAAAUUUUAAAUUUAUUUUUUACACGAAUAAGGUAGCUUAUUAAUAAGCUAAUUUGA
Molecule: transfer RNA, 63 nt
Filed under: Xenophyes cascus
Lineage: Eukaryota; Metazoa; Arthropoda; Insecta; Hemiptera; Peloridiidae
Description: tRNA-Val
Source: RNAcentral